GCGCGUGCACGCACACACACACACAGUGAAUAUAUAUAUGAAUGUGUGUGUGUGUGUGUGUGUGUGUGU
This is a non-coding RNA of Podarcis lilfordi (Lilford's wall lizard), 69 nucleotides long. NCBI's taxonomy places the organism in Eukaryota, Metazoa, Chordata, Lepidosauria, Squamata, Lacertidae. The record is from the annotation of a GenBank genome assembly.